Ananas comosus (pineapple) is the source of this 2959-nucleotide RNA transcript. It is a transcript of the gene named chloride channel protein CLC-e, with no coding region annotated. The record is from RefSeq and is a predicted model, not a curated record. The transcript has 8 exons. NCBI's taxonomy places the organism in Eukaryota, Viridiplantae, Streptophyta, Magnoliopsida, Poales, Bromeliaceae.
UCUCUCUCUCUCUCUCUCUCUCUCUCUCUCCCUCUCCGUUUUGCUUCGUCCCUCCUCCAAUGGCGAUGGCCCUGGCAACGGCAAUCUCCACCUCCUCAUUCUCCUCUAAUUAUCGCCGCAUCUUCCUCAUGCCCACUCCUCCUCCGAUCCCCUUCCUCCACCUCCGCCGCCGCCGCCGCCGCCGCCGCCGCCGCCGCCAACGCCGCCUCUCGUGUCUCCCCUCCGGCGACCCCGCCGAGCUCCGAUUCCCCGCCCCUCCAAACCCUAACGACGAGGAUGCGGAUUUGCGGGAGCGAUUCGUACGCACCACCUCCGCCACCGCCGCUGCCACCACCGGAGGAGGAGGAGGAGGAGGAGGAGGAUCGGCCAGCGCAAGGGAUUUCGUCACCCUCGGCGCUUGCGCCGUUGGCCUCCUCACCGGCCUCGGAGUCGUCUUCUUCAACAUCGCCGUUGAUGAAAUUCGUGAUGUCUUUUGGGACGGGAUACCAUUGCGAGGAGCCUCAUGGUUGAGGGAGGAGCCCAUUGAGGAAGUUUGGCCGAGAGUGAUACUAGUACCCGUCUGCGGGGGCGUAAUAGUUGGCAUCUUGAACAGCGCACGGAGCGCUUUAAAGAACUCUUCUGACGGUGUAGUGUCUAAACUGAAGGGCACUCUUGAACCAUUCUUGAAAGCAGUAGCUGCUUCUGUCACUCUGGGAACCGGGAACUCGUUAGGUCCCGAGGGUCCUAGUGUCGAGAUAGGAUCUUCAAUAGCCAAAGGUGUUGGCCGUGUCUUCCAGUGGGAUGGUGGGAAGAAAUUGUCUCUCGUGGCAGCUGGAUCAGCAGCUGGAAUCUCAUCAGGUUUUAGCGCAGCGGUCGCUGGGUGCUUCUUUGCUGUUGAAUCCGUCUUGUGGCCCUCGUCAUCAGAGUCGUCCUCUUCCAUCUCAAAUUCAACACCGAUGGUGAUACUAAGUUCAGUCAUAGCAUCCGUGGUUUCAGAAAUCGGUCUUGGUUCUGAUCCUGCUUUCAAAGUUCCCGAUUAUGAUUUUCGUUCUCCAAGUGAGCUUCCUCUCUAUCUUUUGCUGGGCAUCCUUUGUGGACUGGUGUCGGUAACCUUAUCUGCAUGCACGUCGGUUACUCUUGAGGUAGUUGAAAAUGUGCAACGUACAACAGGAAUACCGAAGGCCGUACUUCCCGCAAUGGGCGGUCUAACUGCCGGCUUGAUAGCUUUGGCAUAUCCCGAGGUCCUCUACUGGGGCUUUGAGAAUGUUGAUGUUCUGUUGGAAUCACGACCACUUGCAAAUGAUGGUCUAUCUGCCGGAAUAUUGCUUGAGUUGAUUGGCGUAAAGAUCGUCGCGACAUCUUUGAGCAGGGCUUCUGGAUUGGUGGGGGGCUACUAUGCACCAUCCCUUUUUAUAGGCGCAGCAACGGGCAUGGCAUAUGGAAAGUUUAUGAUGUCUGCAUUUGGCGGCCCUGAUCCGCUGUUUCAUCUACCUCUGUUAGAAGUGGUGUCGCCUCAAGCAUAUGGUCUGGUAGGCAUGGCUGCGACUCUUGCUGGAGUAUGUCAAGUGCCUUUGACAUCCGUGCUGCUUCUAUUUGAGCUAACACAGGACUAUCGCAUAGUUUUGCCACUGCUUGGAGCCGUUGGUUUGUCAUCAUGGAUCUCAUCAAGACAAACCAGAAAAAAGGCUAGCAAGGAUAAGUCAGAUUCCUCGAAUGCAGAAGCCCUCAGAAGUCAACAACCAAAACCAGAACAGGAAAAAGAUGACGUUGCUGAGUUGUGUAAGCUCGAGAGCUCUCUUUGUGUGUAUGACGAUGGCGAAGUUGGAUACAGUGAUUUGGCAGAGAGUCUCACUGUUGCACAAGCUAUGAAGACUAAAUAUGUUUCUGUCACUAUGGAGACUCCGGUAGUUGAAGCAGUCACUCUAAUGCUUGCAGAGAAACAAUCGUUUGUGAUGAUAACCGACGACGAUAACUUCCUACGGGGAUUGUUAACGCUCGAAGACAUUGAAGAUUUCGGCAGAAUCGCAGUGACUGAAUUUGCGAUACCUAUGGUAGAGGACACGCUGAUAUGUCACGUCUGCAAAAUAAAAGGCGAUAAGUGGAAAAGCGCAUGGAUUGGAACACCCGACAUGACGCUUUCUACCGCCGAAAGGAUCAUGGAUUUGCGCAGGGUGAAUCAGCUCCCUGUUGUUGUAUCACAGCACAUAAAUGGAGAAAGUAAAGGGUACCUAAUCGGUUUGAUCGACCGUGAAUGUAUCAGCAUCGCCUGCAAAGCUGCUGCAGCAAAAGAAUUUCUUGGCCGGCUCCCUGCUAUUACAAGUCCAAAGCAAUAGCAGGCGAAAGGGAACUGCGAUGCCAUGUCGACAGAGAAUCGCAGCUCAUUCCGCAAGCACGCGAGCAAUCAUACAGAAUCACAAAUGAUGCCUCGAAGUACACACCGAGCUUUUAUUUGAGGGUGCAAAUCAUGUAUAUAACUUUCGAUUACGAAAACCCCCCCUGCAUUUGCAGAUUUCGAGCCCUUCUGAAUUCGAAGCACCAGUUACAGUUCUGAUCCCAAAGUGAGAGAACUCGAUGCAGGUCUCAUUCUCUACACAUCCCUAAAUUUGUUAUCUUCUUUCUUUCUUUCGUCUCGCCUUCACCGCCGCACGUGCAGCGUAUCUCAUUUUUGCCGCGACCGAGAGAAUCGCCUUCGACACCGCCGCUGCCGCCACCGUCGUAGGUUUCACCAUCGCCGUGGAUAAAGAGGAGAGGGUGAAAAAGAUGACGAAAUAAAAGGUAAAAAAGUUAUUUUACUCUUUAGCUAACUGUGGUUAGUUUGUUUAACUCAUGGUUAUCAAAAUUUUAUAUACAGAAGAAUAUAUUUGCAAACAUAAUGAAUUUUCGAAAAUCUAAUAACUUAAGUUUUGUAGGGAUAUAUUUGUUAUUUGAUAUCUUUGUUAGGCAUCAUAUAUAAUUAUCCCUAUUUUUUAUUUAUGAGUUC